This 22-nucleotide microRNA is filed under the name Ciona intestinalis (vase tunicate). Its description in RNAcentral is "Cin-Mir-92-o75_5p* (star (passenger))". Lineage: Eukaryota; Metazoa; Chordata; Ascidiacea; Phlebobranchia; Cionidae. The record is from RNAcentral.
AGUGCUAUUCAUGUGCAAGAGU